CCUGCCGGCGAGUGGCGAACGGGUGAGUAAUACAUCGGAACGUGCCCUGUAGUGGGGGAUAACUAGUCGAAAGACUAGCUAAUACCGCAUACGACCUGAGGGUGAAAGUGGGGGACCGCAAGGCCUCAUGCUAUAGGAGCGGCCGAUGUCUGAUUAGCUAGUUGGUGGGGUAAAGGCCCACCAAGGCGACGAUCAGUAGCUGGUCUGAGAGGACGAUCAGCCACACUGGGACUGAGACACGGCCCAGACUCCUACGGGAGGCAGCAGUGGGGAAUUUUGGACAAUGGGGGCAACCCUGAUCCAGCAAUGCCGCGUGUGUGAAGAAGGCCUUCGGGUUGUAAAGCACUUUUGUCCGGAAAGAAAUCGCACUGGUUAAUACCUGGUGUGGAUGACGGUACCGGAAGAAUAAGGACCGGCUAACUACGUGCCAGCAGCCGCGGUAAUACGUAGGGUCCAAGCGUUAAUCGGAAUUACUGGGCGUAAAGCGUGCGCAGGCGGUUGUGCAAGACCGAUGUGAAAUCCCCGGGCUUAACCUGGGAAUUGCAUUGGUGACUGCACGGCUAGAGUGUGUCAGAGGGAGGUAGAAUUCCACGUGUAGCAGUGAAAUGCGUAGAGAUGUGGAGGAAUACCGAUGGCGAAGGCAGCCUCCUGGGAUAACACUGACGCUCAUGCACGAAAGCGUGGGGAGCAAACAGGAUUAGAUACCCUGG
RNAcentral lists this ribosomal RNA (710 nucleotides) under Ralstonia solanacearum. Its description in RNAcentral is "bacterial SSU rRNA". It matches the Rfam family "Bacterial small subunit ribosomal RNA", at positions 84 to 790 of the family's 1533-position model. Lineage: Bacteria; Pseudomonadati; Pseudomonadota; Betaproteobacteria; Burkholderiales; Burkholderiaceae. The record is from RNAcentral.